Molecule: ribosomal RNA, 253 nt
Filed under: uncultured bacterium
Lineage: Bacteria
Description: partial 16S ribosomal RNA
Rfam family: Bacterial small subunit ribosomal RNA
Source: RNAcentral
UACGUAGGGUCCGAGCGUUGUCCGGAAUUACUGGGCGUAAAGAGCUCGUAGGUGGUUUGUCGCGUUGUCCGUGAAAACUCACAGCUCAACUGUGGGCGUGCGGGCGAUACGGGCAGACUGGAGUACUGCAGGGGAGACUGGAAUUCCUGGUGUAGCGGUGGAAUGCGCAGAUAUCAGGAGGAACACCGAUGGCGAAGGCAGUGUUCUGGGCCAGUACUGACGCUGAGGAGCGAAAGCGUGGGGAGCAAACAGG